RNAcentral lists this ribosomal RNA (857 nucleotides) under uncultured organism. RNAcentral describes it as "bacterial SSU rRNA". It matches the Rfam family "Bacterial small subunit ribosomal RNA", at positions 527 to 1382 of the family's 1533-position model. The record is from RNAcentral.
GGAGGGUGCAAGCGUUACUCGGAAUCACUGGGCGUAAAGGACGCGUAGGCGGGAUGCCAAGUCUGAUGUGAAAUCCUAUGGCUCAACCAUAGAACUGCAUUGGAAACUGGUAACCUAGAGUAUGGGAGGGGGAGAUGGAAUUAGUGGUGUAGGGGUAAAAUCCGUAGAUAUCACUAGGAAUACUAAAGCGAAGGCGAUCUCCUGGAACAAUACUGACGCUAAGGCGUGAAAGCGUGGGGAGCAAACGGGAUUAGAUACCCCGGUAGUCCACGCCCUAAACGAUGUUCACUAGUCGUCGGGAUGCUUGUCAUCUCGGUGAUGCACUUAACAGAUUAAGUGAACCGCCUGGGGAGUACGGUCGCAAGAUUAAAACUCAAAGGAAUAGACGGGGACCCGCACAAGUGGUGGAGCAUGUGGUUUAAUUCGAAGAUACGCGAAGAACCUUACCUAGCCUUGACAUUGAAGAAAUACCCUAGAGAUAGAGUAGUGCCCUUCGGGGAAUCUGAAAACAGGUGCUGCACGGCUGUCGUCAGCUCGUGUCGUGAGAUGUUGGGUUAAGUCCCGCAACGAGCGCAACCCUCGUCUUUAGUUGCCAGCAGGUUAAGCUGGGCACUCUAAAGAGACUGCCUUCGCAAGGAGGAGGAAGGUGAGGACGACGUCAAGUCAUCAUGGCCCUUAUGGCUAGGGCUACACACGUGCUACAAUGGGGCGUACAGAGUGUUGCGAUACCGCGAGGUGGAGCCAAUCACUUAAAGCGUCUCUCAGUUCGGAUUGAAGUCUGCAACUCGACUUCAUGAAGCUGGAAUCACUAGUAAUCGUAGAUCAGCAAUGCUACGGUGAAUACGUUCCCGGGUCUU